This is a long non-coding RNA of Monodelphis domestica (gray short-tailed opossum), 341 nucleotides long. RefSeq lists it as uncharacterized. NCBI's taxonomy places the organism in Eukaryota, Metazoa, Chordata, Mammalia, Didelphimorphia, Didelphidae. The record is from RefSeq and is a predicted model, not a curated record.
CUUCUGCUGCUCAGCAACAAGAGGACAGAACCGCCUACAGAAGCCUUAAAGAACUUUCUGAUACUGGUCUCUGUAUCCUUAUUCUAUCUCAUUCAGCGACUCUGGGAGCCUCUUUUAGCCAAAUAAAGUCAUGUUCAUUCUGCCAUUCCAUUUGGUAGAAGAGAAAGGGGCACUGGAUACAGGAAACCUCUAGCCCUCAAAAGAAAUAAAAGGAAAAGUAAAGAAAUCUGAAUCAUUAUAAAGAGAAAGGAAAGAAAAUCAAUGAAUCAUUUUAUUUUUAUUGAAUCAUUUUAAAAGCAUAGAAAAAAGAAAUAAAUUCAGAAGGAAUCAGGAUAAACAAA